RNAcentral lists this transfer RNA (85 nucleotides) under Acidobacteriota bacterium. RNAcentral's name for it is "tRNA-Leu". It matches the Rfam family "tRNA". Rfam says of the family: Transfer RNA (tRNA) molecules are approximately 80 nucleotides in length. Their secondary structure includes four short double-helical elements and three loops (D, anti-codon, and T loops). Lineage: Bacteria; Pseudomonadati; Acidobacteriota. RNAcentral also lists the same sequence under 2 other names. The record is from RNAcentral.
GCCGGGGUGGCGGAACUGGCAGACGCUGGGGACUUAAAAUCCCCUGACCCAAAAGGUCGUGUGGGUUCGAUCCCCACCCCCGGCA